Molecule: ribosomal RNA, 468 nt
Filed under: uncultured bacterium
Lineage: Bacteria
Description: SSU rRNA
Rfam family: Bacterial small subunit ribosomal RNA
Source: RNAcentral
AGGAUAAACGCUGGCGGCGUGCCUAACACAUGCAAGUCGAACGUCUCUUCUUUCGGGAAGAGGAGUGGCGGACGGGUGAGGAACACGUGGGAACCUGCCCUUUAGUGAGGAAUACCGGCGAGAAAUCGCCGACAAGACCGCAUAGCCCUCUUUGAUGAGAGUCAAAGAAGGAAAGCUUCGCAAGAGGCGCUAGAGGAGGGGCCUGCGUCCGAUUAGCUAGUUGGUGGGGUAAGAGCCUACCAAGGCGUCGAUCGGUAGCUGGUCUGAGAGGACGAUCAGCCACACUGGGAUUGAGAACGGCCCAGACUCCUACGGGGGCAGCAGUGAGGAAUUUUCGGCAAUGGGGGAAACCCUGACCGAGCAACGCCGCGUGCAGGAAGACGGCCUUGGUUGUAACUGCUUUUCUUUGGGUAAGAGGAAGGACGGUACCAGAGGAAUCAGCCCGGCUCACUACGUGCCAGCAGCCGC